This 492-nucleotide ribosomal RNA is filed under the name uncultured bacterium. RNAcentral describes it as "partial 16S ribosomal RNA". It matches the Rfam family "Bacterial small subunit ribosomal RNA", at positions 29 to 507 of the family's 1533-position model. The record is from RNAcentral.
AGUGAACGCUGGCGGUAGGCCUAACACAUGCAAGUCGAACGGCAGCACAGUAAGAGCUUGCUCUUACGGGUGGCGAGUGGCGGACGGGUGAGGAAUACAUCGGAAUCUACUUUUUCGUGGGGGAUAACGUAGGGAAACUUACGCUAAUACCGCAUACGACCUACGGGUGAAAGCAGGGGAUCUUCGGACCUUGCGCGAUUGAAUGGGCCGAUGUCGGAUUAGCUAGUUGGCGGGGUAAAGGCCCACCAAGGCGACGAUCCGUAGCUGGUCUGAGAGGAUGAUCAGCCACACUGGAACUGAGACACGGUCCAGACUCCUACGGGAGGCAGCAGUGGGGAAUAUUGGACAAUGGGCGCAAGCCUGAUCCAGCCAUACCGCGUGGGUAAAGAAGGCCUUCGGGUUGUAAAGCCCUUUUGUUGGGAAAGAAAAGCAGCAGGUUAAUACCCCGCUGUUCUGACGGUACCCAAAGAAUAAGCACCGGCUAACUUCGUG